CUUGGUCAUUUAGAGGAAGUAAAAGUCGUAACAAGGUCUCCGUUGGUGAACCAGCGGAGGGAUCAUUACCGAGUUUACAACUCCCAAACCCCUGUGAACAUACCUAUACGUUGCCUCGGCGGAUCAGCCCGCGCCCCGUAAAACGGGACGGCCCGCCGCAGGACCCAUAAACCCUGAAUUUUAUUGUAACUUCUGAGUUUAAAAAACAAAUAAAUCAAAACUUUCAACAACGGAUCUCUUGGUUCUGGCAUCGAUGAAGAACGCAGCAAAAUGCGAUAAGUAAUGUGAAUUGCAGAAUUCAGUGAAUCAUCGAAUCUUUGAACGCACAUUGCGCCCCCUGGUAUUCCGGGGGGCAUGCCUGUUCGAGCGUCAUUUCACUACUCAAGCCUCGCUUGGUAUUGGGCGACGCGGUCCGCCGCGCGCCUCAAAUCGACCGGCUGGGUCUUCUGUCCCCUCAGCGUUGUGGAAACUAUUCGCUAAAGGGUGCCACGGGAGGCCACGCCGAAAAACAAACCCAUUUCUAAGGUUGACCUCGGAUCAGGUAGGGAUACCCGCUGAACUUAAGCAUAUCAAUAAGCGGAGGA
This 584-nucleotide ribosomal RNA is filed under the name uncultured fungus. Its description in RNAcentral is "eukaryotic LSU rRNA". The stretch from base 219 to 372 matches the Rfam family "5.8S ribosomal RNA". The record is from RNAcentral. Lineage: Eukaryota; Fungi.